Non-coding RNA from Lonchura striata (white-rumped munia), 167 nucleotides. The record is from RefSeq and is a predicted model, not a curated record. NCBI's taxonomy places the organism in Eukaryota, Metazoa, Chordata, Aves, Passeriformes, Estrildidae.
GGUGUGCUACCAGAGGAGGAAGCUUGUGAAAUACUCACUCCAAAAUGGACUGCUUGGGAAAAAAGAAAGAACAGAAAAUGUUAAAGUACGGACAUCUGACUUGUUCAGGAUCCUAUUCCUGUCUGGGCUACUCUGACCAGCAGUUAAAACAGACGCUGAAUGCAAGG